AGAAUCAACGCUGGCGGCGUGCCUAACACAUGCAAGUCGAACGGGAAAGUGGAGCAAUCCAUGAGUAUAGUGGCGACCGGGUGAGUAGCACGUGACUACCUACCCUUGAGUGGGGGAUAACCUCGGGAAACCGAGGCUAAUACCGCAUAACAUCGAAAGAUCAAAAGGAGUAAUCCGCUUUUGGAGGGGGUCGCGGCUGAUUAGCUAGUUGGUAAGGUAAUGGCUUACCAAGGCGAAGAUCGGUA
This 245-nucleotide ribosomal RNA is filed under the name uncultured bacterium. Its description in RNAcentral is "partial small subunit ribosomal RNA". It matches the Rfam family "Bacterial small subunit ribosomal RNA", at positions 26 to 285 of the family's 1533-position model. The record is from RNAcentral.